GCAACCGCCCCGUCUGAGAAGUGAGGAGCCCCUCCGUCCGGCAACCACCCCGUCUGGGAAGUGAGGAGCGUCUCCGCCCAGCAGCCACCCCGUCCGGGAGGGAGGUGGGGGGGGUCAGCCCCCCGCCCGGCCAGCCGCCCCGUCCUGGAGGUGAGGGGCUCCUCUGCCCGGCCGCCCCUACUGGGAAGUGAGGAGCCCCUCUGCCCGGCCAGACGCCCCGUCCAGGAGGGAGGUGGGGGGGUCAGCCCCCCGCCCGGCCAGCCGCCCAGUCCGGGAGGGAGGUGGGGGGUCAGCCCCCCGCCCGGCCAGCCGCCCCGUCUGGGAGGGAGGUGGGGGGAUCAGCCCCCCGCCUGGCCAGCCGCCCCAUCCGGGAGGUGAGGGGCGCCUCUGCCCGGCCGCCCCUACUGGGAAGUGAGGAGCCCCUCUGCCCGGCCAGCCGCCCCGCCCGGGAGGGAGGUGGGGGGGUCAUCCCCCCACCUGGCCAGCCGCCCCAUCCGGGAGGGAGGUGGGGGGGUCAGCCCCCUGCCCGGCCAGCCGCCCCGUCCGGGAGGGGGGAGGGGGGGUCAGCCCCCUGCCCGGCCAGCCGCCCCGUCCGGGAGGGAGGUGGGGGGGGUCAGCCCCCCGCCUGGCCAGCCGCCCCGUCCGGGAGGGAGGUGGGGGGAUCAGCCCCCCGCCUGGCCAGUCGCCCCGUCCGGGAGGUGAGGGGCGCCUCUGCCCGGCCGCCCCUACUGGAAAGUGAGGAGCCCCUCUGCCCGGCCAGCCGCCCCGUCCGGGAGGGAGGCGGGGUGGGGGGGGGGGGGUCGGCCAGCCGCCCCGUCCGGGAGGGAGGUGGGGGGGGUCAGCCCCCCUUCCGGCCGGCCGCCCCGUCCGGGAGGUGAGGGGCGCCUCUGCCCGGCCGCCCCUACUGGGAAGUGAGGACCCCUCUGCCCGGCCAGCCGCCCCGUCCGGGAGGGAGGUGGGGGGGACAGCCCCCCGCCCAGCCAGCCGCCCUAUCCAGGAGGUGAGGGGCGCCUCUGCCCGGCCGUCCCUACUGGGAAGUGAGGAGCCCCUCUGCCUGGCCAGCCGCCCCGUCCGGGAGGGUGGUGGGGGGGUCAGCCCCCCGCCCGGCCAGCCGCCCCAUCCGGGAGGUGAGGGGCGCUUCUGCCCGGCCGCCCCUACUGGGAAGUGAGGAGCCCCUCUGCCCGGCCACGACCCCGUCUGGGAGGUGUGCCCAGCGGCUCAUUGGGGAUGGGCCAUGAUGACAAUGGCGGUUUUGUGGAAUAGAAAGGCGGGAAGGGUGGGGAAAAAAUUGAGAAAUCGGAUGGUUGCCGGGUCUCUGUGGAUAGAAGUAGACAUGGGAGACUUUUCAUUUUGUUCUGUACUAAGAAAAAUUCUUCUGCCUUGGGAUCCUGUUGAUCUGUGACCUUAUCCCCAACCCUGUGCUCUCUGAAACAUGUGCUGUGUCCACUCAGGGUUAAAUGGAUUAAGGGCGGUGCAAGAUGUGCUUUGUUAAACAGAUGCUUGAAGGCAGCAUGCUCGUUAAGAGUCAUCACCACUCCCUAAUCUUAAGUACCCAGGGACACAAACACUGCGGAAGGCCAAGGCCGCAGGGUCCUCUGCCUAGGAAAACCAGAGACCUUUGUUCACUUGUUUAUCUGCUGACCUUCCCUCCACUAUUGUCCUAUGACCCUGCCAAAUCCCCCUCUGCGAGAAACACCCAAGAAUGAUCAAUAAAAAAA
RNAcentral lists this long non-coding RNA (1718 nucleotides) under Homo sapiens (human). RNAcentral's name for it is "HSALNT0405167". Lineage: Eukaryota; Metazoa; Chordata; Mammalia; Primates; Hominidae. The record is from RNAcentral.